CUGACUGAUACAGGUAUUAAUAAAGUCUGACUGAUACAGGUAUUAAUAAAGUCUGACUGAUACAGGUAUUAAUAAAGUCUGACUGAUACAGGUAUUAAUAAAGUCUGACUGAUACAGGUAUUAAAAAAGUCUGACUGAUACAGGUAUUAAUAAAGUCUGACUGAUACAGGUAUUAAUAAAGUCUGACUGAUACAGGUAUUAAUAAAGUCUGACUGAUACAGGUAUUAAUAAAGUCUGACUGAUACAGGUAUUAAUAAAGUCUGACUGAUACAGGUAUUAAUAAAGUCUGACUGAUAGAGGUAUUAUAAAAGCUGUCAAACUGUUUGACAUUGCUGUGGGUGGCUCUAACCCUGCCCGAGGUUAACCAAUGGAUCUUGUUCUCCUGUUAGGUCUGAUAUUGUCCAUUUUCAAAAGAAUACUCCCGCGGGAUUGCAAAUGUCACAGAAUGUCAGGCCAAUCGUACUGUUCUCAAAGCCAAAUGUUAGUUCAUGUAUUAUGCCGGUUCCCUUUCUGCCGCACCAGGUGCUCCAUGAUUGGAUAAUGGGUUUAAGAUGCCUAGAUCUUCACCCCGGUCAUAUGUCGACAUAGUGCACUGGGAUUGCACGUGUUACAGGGGGCUACAGGGGAAAUGGGAUUGUUUUCAGUAUUACUGUACUUGAUGGGGCCUGUAUUUGCAAUAAAGAUUUAGGUACAGUA
This is a long non-coding RNA of Oncorhynchus keta (chum salmon), 696 nucleotides long. RefSeq lists it as uncharacterized. NCBI's taxonomy places the organism in Eukaryota, Metazoa, Chordata, Actinopteri, Salmoniformes, Salmonidae. The record is from RefSeq and is a predicted model, not a curated record. The transcript has 3 exons.